GACGAACGCUGGCGGCAUGCCUAAUACAUGCAAGUCAAGCGAACAGAUGAAGUGCUUGCACUUCUGACGUUAGCGGCGAACGGGUGAGUAACACGUAAGGAAUCUACCUAUAAGCGGGGGAUAACAUUCGGAAACGGGUGCUAAACCGCAUAAAUUCAUCUUCCGGCUGGGAGGAAGUUUAAAGGAGGCUUGUCUGUUCCUUAUAGUAGAACUUGCGGUGCAUUAGGUAGUUGGUGGGGGAACGGCCUACCAAGACGAUGAUGCAUAGCCGACCUGAGAGGGUGAUCGGCCACAUUGGGACUGAGACACGGCCCAAACUCCUACGGGAGGCAGCAGUAGGGAAUCUUCCGCAAUGGGCGAAAGCCUGACGGAGCAAUGCCGCGUGAGUGAAGAAGGCCUUCGGGUCGUAAAACUCUGUUAUAAGAGAAGAACAAAUUGUAGAGUAACUGCUACAGUCUUGACGGUAUCUUAUCAGAAAGCCACGGCUAACUACGUGCCAGCCGCCGCGGUAA
Molecule: ribosomal RNA, 512 nt
Filed under: uncultured bacterium
Lineage: Bacteria
Description: partial 16S ribosomal RNA
Rfam family: Bacterial small subunit ribosomal RNA
Source: RNAcentral